CGAACGAGAGCGACCGGUGCUUGCACUGGUCAAUCUAGUGGCGAACGGGUGAGUAACACGUGGGUAACCUGCCCAUCAGAGGGGGAUAACAUCCGGAAACGGAUGCUAAAACCGCAUAGGUCUUCGAACCGCAUGGUUUGAAGAGGAAAAGAGGCGCAAGCUUCUGCUGAUGGAUGGACCCGCGGUGCAUUAGCUAGUUGGUGAGGUAACGGCUCACCAAGGCCGUGAUGCAUAGCCGACCUGAGAGGGUGAUCGGCCACAUUGGGACUGAGACACGGCCCAAACUCCUACGGGAGGCAGCAGUAGGGAAUCUUCCGCAAUGGACGCAAGUCUGACGGAGCAACGCCGCGUGAGUGAAGAAGGUUUUCGGAUCGUAAAACUCUGUUGUUAGAGAAGAACAAGUGCUAGAGUAACUGUUAGCGCCUUGACGGUAUCUAACCAGAAAGCCACGGCUAACUACGUGCCAGCAGCCGCGGUAAUACGUAGGUGGCAAGCGUUGUCCGGAUUUAUUGGGCGUAAAGCGAGCGCAGGCGGUUCCUUAAGUCUGAUGUGAAAGCCCCCGGCUCAACCGGGGAGGGUCAUUGGAAACUGGGGAACUUGAGUGCAGAAGAGGAGUGUGGAAUUCCAUGUGUAGCGGUGAAAUGCGUAGAUAUAUGGAGGAACACCAGUGGCGAAGGCGACUCUCUGGUCUGUAACU
This 697-nucleotide ribosomal RNA is filed under the name uncultured Bacilli bacterium. RNAcentral describes it as "bacterial SSU rRNA". It matches the Rfam family "Bacterial small subunit ribosomal RNA", at positions 63 to 741 of the family's 1533-position model. The record is from RNAcentral. Lineage: Bacteria; Bacillati; Bacillota; Bacilli.